RNAcentral lists this ribosomal RNA (292 nucleotides) under uncultured bacterium. Its description in RNAcentral is "partial 16S ribosomal RNA". It matches the Rfam family "Bacterial small subunit ribosomal RNA", at positions 773 to 1060 of the family's 1533-position model. The record is from RNAcentral.
GUGGAUUAGAUACCCUGGUAGUCCACGCCCUAAACGAUGCACACUAGUUGUUGUGAGGCUAGACCUUGCAGUAAUGCAGUUAACACAUUAAGUGUGCCGCCUGGGGAGUACGGUCGCAAGAUUAAAACUCAAAGGAAUAGACGGGGACCCGCACAAGCGGUGGAGCAUGUGGUUUAAUUCGACGAUACACGAAGAACCUUACCUGGACUUGACAUAGUAAGAACUUUCUAGAGAUAGAUUGGUGUCUGCUUGCAGAAACUUAUAUACAGGUGCUGCAUGGUUGUCGCCAGCU